This 550-nucleotide ribosomal RNA is filed under the name Nigrospora sphaerica. RNAcentral's name for it is "eukaryotic LSU rRNA". The stretch from base 181 to 334 matches the Rfam family "5.8S ribosomal RNA". Lineage: Eukaryota; Fungi; Ascomycota; Sordariomycetes; Amphisphaeriales; Apiosporaceae. RNAcentral also lists the same sequence under 1 other name. The record is from RNAcentral.
AGGGUAACCUGCGGAGGGAUCAUUACAGAGUUAUCCAACUCCCAAACCCAUGUGAACUUAUCUCUUUGUUGCCUCGGCGCAAGCUACCCGGGACCUCGCGCCCCGGGCGGCCCGCCGGCGGACAAACCAAAACUCUUGUUAUCUUAGUUGAUUAUCUGAGUGUCUUAUUUAAUAAGUCAAAACUUUCAACAACGGAUCUCUUGGUUCUGGCAUCGAUGAAGAACGCAGCGAAAUGCGAUAAGUAAUGUGAAUUGCAGAAUUCAGUGAAUCAUCGAAUCUUUGAACGCACAUUGCGCCCAUUAGUAUUCUAGUGGGCAUGCCUGUUCGAGCGUCAUUUCAACCCCUAAGCACAGCUUAUUGUUGGGAACCUACGGCUUCGUAGUUCCUCAAAGACAUUGGCGGAGUGGCAGUGGUCCUCUGAGCGUAGUAAUCUUUUAUCUCGCUUCUGUUAGGUGCUGCCCCCCCGGCCGUAAAACCCCCAAUUUUUUCUGGUUGACCUCGGAUCAGGUAGGAAUACCCGCUGAACUUAAGCAUAUCAAUAAGCGGAGGA